UCAAAAGUUGUGGAGGAUGUUCCCUAGGGGAACCGAAUAGGUCAAGGGGGGUUAAGGGGUAUGGUUUGAUUUCAACUAGAUGGUUAGUGUCUAGUUAUGUUAAUUAGGAGUUUAAAUUAAGUUAUUAGUGUGUUGUGAAAUAUAACGGGUGUUAGGGUAUUCGGGACCCUAAUUGGCUCAGAAAAGUAUAAACAAUGUUAUUGGCAACAUUUUUAUGUUCCGGGUAAAGUCCGCUAGUUCGGUUUGAUACUGUUCCGUUAAAGUGCUUAAUUAAUCCGUAAAGUGUCAUACAUGUAUAUUUUUGUAACGUUUUUAAUUUCUAACACUUAGGAAAUUAUAACGGACUAUUUAGUGACUUUUCUGCAUACUACUAGUAUGUUAACAAGCGCAUGUAAGCAUAACACAGAUAUCAGAAAGCAGUUAAGUAAUUCCACACAGUCGUCAAGCACUUUAAUUAUCAAUAAUAAAUUGUACGGAAUACAUGGAAUUUUGAGGGUUGUCACAUUCUCCCCCUGUUAAGAAAAUUUCGUCCCAAAAAUUAGCUCGUGGUUACUGAGGAAGCUAGUUAUGUUGCGUUGGUUUCCUGGUUUUCCUGGGGUGUCACAUCAUCCCCCCGUUGAUUUGGAAUUUCGUCCCGAAAUUCUGCAGUAGCUUCAGUCUCAGUAGUGGUUGUGUUUUUCUUAAACAGCUGGGGGUACUUGAGUUUCAUUGGUUUUCACGUUCCCAGGUGUACUCUGGGCCACGACGGGAAUCCCAACGAACUCGGACAAGAGGUAUCCUGGUGCGCUUGAGAAUCUUAACAUCUCGAUCCGUAAUCUCUACUGGUUCCUCGACGAAUCGCAGCUGGUCGUCGAUAGUGAGCUCCUUGAGGGGAACUAUGAGGGUCUCAUCUGACAGACACUUCUUCAGAUUCGACACAUGGAAAACGUUGUGAACUCCGCUGAGUUCUUUAGGUAGAUUCAGCCUGUAGGCCACCUUGCCAAUCUUCUCAAUGAUUUCAAAGGGUCCAACGUAUCACGGGUUGAGUUUGCCUCGUUUGCCAAAACAAACUACACCUUUCCAAGGUGAGACUUUGAGUAGCACUCGAUCCCCAACCUGGAACUCGAGUGGCUUUCUUCGCUUAUCAGCAUAGCUUUUCUGACGGUCGCGAGCUGCCGCAAUUCGUUGUCGUAUCUGAGCAAUUUUCUCGGUUGUAUCUACUACGAGUUCUGGGCCAGUGAUUUGACUGUCACCAACCUCUGCCCAGCAAAGAGGUGAUCGGCACUUCCGUCCAUACAAUGCCUCGAAUGGAGCGGCCUGGAUGCUGGUGUGCCAUUGCCGAAGUCGAUUACUGAUGUGCGUGAAGUGUGUUAUAUUUUAGAUGUAUAUUUUAAGCCCUUUUUACACUUUUAGCCAAGUUUUAAAUUUAUAAAACACGAUAUUUACUAACACUAAACACACAUAUGAGCAAGUGCACCCAUCGUGGACGUAGUAUAGUGUUGGUAAGAUACCGAGGUCGUCCAAGGACACAAGAGCUUUUAGUACCGGUUUAUCCUCAACGUCUAACCAAAUCAAAAUGUUAGAAAAGAUUUUUAAACUAAGAAAAUAAAACUAACUA
This 1597-nucleotide long non-coding RNA is filed under the name Helianthus annuus (common sunflower). RNAcentral's name for it is "hypothetical non coding rna". Lineage: Eukaryota; Viridiplantae; Streptophyta; Magnoliopsida; Asterales; Asteraceae. The record is from RNAcentral.